AUUGAACGCUGGCGGCAUGCCUUACACAUGCAAGUCGAACGGUAACAGGUCUUCGGAUGCUGACGAGUGGCGAACGGGUGAGUAAUACAUCGGAACGUGCCUAGUAGUGGGGGAUAACUACUCGAAAGAGUGGCUAAUACCGCAUGAGAUCUACGGAUGAAAGCAGGGGAUCGCAAGACCUUGUGCUACUAGAGCGGCCGAUGGCAGAUUAGGUAGUUGGUGGGAUAAAAGCUUACCAAGCCGACGAUCUGUAGCUGGUCUGAGAGGACGAUCAGCAACACUGGGACUGAGACACGGCCCAGACUCCUACGGGAGGCAGCAGUGGGGAAUUUUGGACAAUGGGCGCAAGCCUGAUCCAGCAAGGCCGCGUGCAGGAUGAAGGCCUUCGGGUUGUAAACUGCUUUUGUACGGAACGAAAAGCCCUGGGUUAAUACCCUGGGGUCAUGACGGUACCGUAAGAAUAAGCACCGGCUAACUACGUGCCAGCAGCCGCGGUAA
This 498-nucleotide ribosomal RNA is filed under the name uncultured bacterium. Its description in RNAcentral is "partial 16S ribosomal RNA". It matches the Rfam family "Bacterial small subunit ribosomal RNA", at positions 30 to 523 of the family's 1533-position model. The record is from RNAcentral.